This is a long non-coding RNA of Hordeum vulgare subsp. vulgare (domesticated barley), 2754 nucleotides long. RefSeq lists it as uncharacterized. Lineage: Eukaryota; Viridiplantae; Streptophyta; Magnoliopsida; Poales; Poaceae. The transcript has 2 exons. The record is from RefSeq and is a predicted model, not a curated record.
CCGUAGAAGCCCAAAGUUAACCAAACCUCCAAUUAUGUUGCACUGUAUACCCAAGCCCAAAGCAAGCCCAUGUUUUUUCCUUUAGGCCAACAGCGUGAGUUGACCUAGCCUACCAUCUCCAGUUCAGAUCGAUUCUGCGCCUGCCGCCGCUCUAGUAGAUCGCCAGACGCCACACAACGCGGCGCCAUGAUAGCUAGUCCGGCCGUCUCAGCCCGCGGAGAUGCUGCCGCGGUGCCGAUCGAUGAACCAUGCCAUCGAGUACACGAGCCCGGCGGUCACUUAGUUUAUUCCUCCAGCAAUCGAGUCUGAAGGUAUAUAUACCGCACAGUUUUUUUUUUUUGGCAGAUUGUAUAACCUAUAGUCCAGUUAAUUAACGGGCUGACUAAAUGACUAAUGAUGCAAGACGAUUGAUUAAUUUACAAAUUAGACGUGUCUUCCUCUUUUUCUUCGGUUUUGCUAAAGCACAUCUAGAUGUGUUCUAACUAUUGCAUAUGUAAGUUUUCUUUCAUCGAAAAGGUUAUCUUAUUGGUUUCUCUUGCAUUGUUACAUGAGAUUAAUUUUUAACAUUUUCUUUUUUCAAAAUUCUAGUAUGGAAAUUUGAAUCAGCUCGCUUUAAUGUAAAUCAUGAACUCUUUUGUGAGUUCCCUUUCGGUCUCUCUUGCACUACAAUGCAUGGGACAUCAAACAAAAAUGUACUGCUUAUUUCUGCUAGCAUGGGUGCUAAACCUCUAUCGCCAUGACAAUCUAUUUCGGUGCCUCUUGUGUGGUUAUCGUCGCGUCAUUGCUCAAUAUCAGUGGACACGACUCUUGUUGUUAGCUUUCGUUCUUCAGAUUAAGUAUUGUUUGGCCUUGACGUCUCCACCUCAGUACACAUUCUUUAGCUAGAUAUCUAAAGGAUCUUUUUUACUUUGGCAUGUCCAUGGUUAUUUGUUACUCCAUCGAGUUCUUUUGUUUGUCUCCAACCACAAAAAUUUGUCUCCUUUAGCCAAUAAUUUUCUUAGAUUGUCACAACCCUUCCUUAUUUGACCAAUUGCAUUGAAUGCAUUACAUUUCUUUCUUCCCUAUGGCCCAUCCUAAUUAAAUCCAGCAUGGUCUAACUCCAAUCUCUUCUCUCUCAUGUGACUUGUUUUCCCCGAUGUUUUUCUUUUCCAACAAAAGGUGUUUUUUAUUAACUCAUAAUGUGACAUCGAUUGAUACAAUGAUAAUGAGAACACAUCCGACCUCUGCAUAACUAAGAUGCACACACCCAACACUAUCAUGCACACACGGAUCAGACUGGCAAAAAGCAAAGUCAGAACAGAAUAUAUGCCAAGGUGAGAAAAAGAAAAAAAAUUGAAACCAUCCAAAUAGCGAUCAACGAUGUAUAACAACGACCAUCGACACCAACCAUCUUUUGAAAAUAUAGUACUAUGAGAAGGAUUCUUCAAAUGAAACACCCUCAUCAAGGAAACGGUGUAUAAGCGUCAUCGUCGCCGGAUCCAUCAUCGAAAGCCAGAUCAUGAGUUUUCACCCUGAAGAUCAAGUCCGAGCUAACUUCAAGAACUAUGUUCAACAGGGUAAUGACACAAAAGAACCUCCAUUGCCAGGACCUGGGCAGCUGCAUAUACGUAUGGUCAUGAUGUGAGAUGCCACGCAAGAGAUGAUCAUGCCUGCAUGAGCAUGCGGUCAAUCCACGACAAGAGUCACCUUCCACCACACGACACAUACUCUGGUAUGGGCAGAAGGCCCCAUGCACCGCCCAAAUCCCAAGUUUGAGAGGACCGGGCAUACCAGCACCAUCCUCACAAGUGGUAGUAGAUGACCGAUCUACAUGAGAUGACAUGAUCACAUGCCGCCACUACCAUCGUCAUCACAUGUGACAGUAGAUUACACCAGGAUGGAGGACAUGACCGUUGUCAUGCAUCGCGAAUGGCGAUGUAGAUCCUAAAUCUUGUUGCAUCUGGAGCUACAACCCUUUCGGUGACCAUUUUAUGGCCAAUGACGCAUCGAUGGAGGCAAUAACGGUUAGUCAAGCAUGAAAAACAGCGCCCAACAGCACAUAGGCUAGAUCGGGCGCGACGACUGUGACAUCUACUGUGUGGCCACCGUCACACCCCCUUUGGUCCACGGGAAAUGGCCGCGACAUUUGUUGCAUCGCCACCACCUCAUCCCACCAUGCCCUAACCCUGAAGAGGCGCCUUCGGAGCUGGGCUAACCCCUGUUAGAUGAACAGACUCUCCAAACCAGUGGCAUGGUGGUUGUGUCGGCUCCCAUUCCACCGCCACUUAGGUUUGAGCGGCAACACAAUGCCAUCAGGAAUAGGAAAGGCGUGUUGCAUCCCCUAGCUAGCCAUGAAUUGUUGUUGCGUUGCAUCAUGUCUGCCAUUACCGAGUUGUCAUCGCAAAGUAUGCCAGCUGCGCGGGCAAGCCCCGCGGCCACUCGUGGAGGCGGUGAGGAGAGGAUGCUCAGGAAGAGGGCGCCCGAGAAUGUGCAUCAGAUGGUUAUACAAGUCGCUCUGGUGGAGGGUGUGGGGGCAGUUUUGGUUUGUUGCCUGCCCUUUUGGCAUUUAUGUAUGACCUUCUAUGGAGUCCGCGACCAUUAUCGUGGCUCAAAAAUUAUCAUCAUUAUGUUUCUACUUGCGGCUGCUAUUGCUAGUUUUUAACAAUUUCUAUUAUUUUUCGUUAACGUGGCAACUCUUUCUUCCACCUUACUUGUAGUUGAUCAUUUGGUCUAACUCCUUAUAACGGUUCAAUUUGAGAUGUUAACCCAUCUUUC